AGGCCAGUAGUUCAAUUGGCAGAGCGUCGGAUUCCAAAUCCGAAAGUUGGGGGUUCAAGUCCCUCCUGGCCUGCCA
This 76-nucleotide transfer RNA is filed under the name Planctomycetota bacterium. RNAcentral describes it as "tRNA-Trp". It matches the Rfam family "tRNA". Rfam says of the family: Transfer RNA (tRNA) molecules are approximately 80 nucleotides in length. Lineage: Bacteria; Pseudomonadati; Planctomycetota. The record is from RNAcentral.